GGCAGGAACGAGGCCCUCCAAGAAUCCUGUGGUACAAUGCAUUUACAACACAUCUGCCCGCUGACUUGUCAGUUUUCAAGGUGUACUUUCUUCAUUUUUUUCCCCCCACAAUAGCUACAAAGGCUUUUCUACAGUGAGAAACAAAAGUACUUCUGGGCUCUGAACAAGCUUUUGUGCCUUGGAAAUUCAACAGUUUUAAAGCCAUCUGAAAAAAAUUCCUCGUUGCUAUGGCAAUACCAUUCUUUCACAACAAAUCCUUCCUGAAGGAUAUCAAAUUCAUUUAGGGUUGCAGCCACCUACUGUCACUGCUCUGCUCAUACCAUGUUAUAUCACAAGGCAGUCUGAAAAGAGACUUUCCCAUCAGUGACUGACUGCAGGAGUCAAAGAGGUGGUGUUCAAUGCACCUUGUCUGUUUAAGUAUUUCUAAUGGUGGGGAAACAUUGUGAUAGCUAGUAAUCACCUGUCUGAAUGAAUAGGCCUGCAUCAUAGAAUUUUGUUUGUGAAUACAUGAUAAAAGACAGGUUAUUCCUUGGUAAUUUAAUUGGCUUUAGAGUGUAAGAAGGCUCUGGUAGGAAACAGUGGUUAAAAGCAGCAUUAAACAUACUGCAGACUUUUUAUUCUAAGUGCAAAUCAGUGACUGUACUUGUUAAGAUUGUAUUAGAAUGAUAAAAAGUAAUUAGAAUAGACUUACUGCAUUUCUA
Pezoporus flaviventris is the source of this 701-nucleotide long non-coding RNA. RefSeq lists it as uncharacterized. NCBI's taxonomy places the organism in Eukaryota, Metazoa, Chordata, Aves, Psittaciformes, Psittacidae. The transcript has 3 exons. The record is from RefSeq and is a predicted model, not a curated record.